This 1044-nucleotide long non-coding RNA is filed under the name Gopherus agassizii (Agassiz's desert tortoise). RNAcentral describes it as "lncRNA (ENSGAGG00000008907.1)". The record is from RNAcentral. Lineage: Eukaryota; Metazoa; Chordata; Testudines; Testudinidae.
CUCCUCCUGAGGGUCGAAAUGACAGCCUGGACCUAUACAUUGAAUGCUUCCGCCGGCGUGCACAGGCAGAAAUCGUGGAACAACAACAUCGCUUGCCUCACAACCUAAGCCGUGCAGAACGCAAUGCCAUCCACAGCCUCAGAAACCACCCUGACAUUAUCAUCAAAGAGGCUGAUAAAGGAGGUGCCGUUGUCAUCAUGAACAGGUCUGACUAUCAAAAGGAGGCAGCCAGACAACUCUCCAAUACCAAAUUCUACAGGCCACUUCCCUCAGAUCCCACUGAGGAAUACACUAAGAAACUACAGCAUCUACUCAGGACACUCCCUACACUAACACCAGAAGAAAUCAACAUACCCCUAGAGCCCCGACCAGGGUUAUUCUAUCUACUACCCAAGAUCCACAAACCCGGAAAUCCUGGACGCCCCAUCAUCUCGGGCAUUGGCACUCUCACUGAAGGACUGUCUGGAUAUAUGGACUCUCUACUCAGACCCUAUGCCACCAGCACUCCCAGCUAUCUCCGCGACACCACUGAUUUCCUGAGGAAACUACAAUGCAUUGGUGACCUCCCAGAAAACACCAUCCUAGCCACCAUGGAUGUAGAGGCUCUCUACACAAACAUCCCACACACAGAUGGAAUACAAGCUGUCAGGAACACCAUCCCUGAUGAUGCCACAGCACAACUGGCUGCUGAGCUCUGUGCCUUUAUACUUACACACAACUAUUUCAAAUUUGAUGACAAUAUAUAUCUCCAGAUCAGUGGCACUGCUAUGGGCACCCGCAUGGCCCCACAAUAUGCCAAUAUCUUCAUGGCCGACCUGGAACAACGCUUCCUCAGCUCUCGUCCACUCACACCCCUUCUCUAUCUACGCUACAUUGAUGACAUCUUCAUCAUCUGGACCCAUGGGAAGGAGACUCUGGAAAAAUUCCACCAUGAUUUCAACAGCUUCCACCCCACCAUCAACCUCAGCCUGGACCAAUCUACACGGGAGGUCCACUUUCUUGACACCACGGUGCAAAUAAGUGAUGGUCACAUUAACACCACCC